RNAcentral lists this transfer RNA (71 nucleotides) under Tannerellaceae bacterium. Its description in RNAcentral is "tRNA-Cys". It matches the Rfam family "tRNA". From Rfam's summary of the family: Transfer RNA (tRNA) molecules are approximately 80 nucleotides in length. Lineage: Bacteria; Pseudomonadati; Bacteroidota; Bacteroidia; Bacteroidales; Tannerellaceae. The record is from RNAcentral.
GGUUCCUUGGCCGAGUGGUUAGGUGCCGGUCUGCAAAACCGUUAACGGCGGUUCGAUUCCGCCAGGAACCU